GAUGAACGCUGGCGGCGCGCCUAACACAUGCAAGUCGAACGGCACCCCUCCUCGGAGGGGAGCGAGUGGCGAACGGCUGGGUAACACGUGGAGAACCUGCCCCCUCCUCCGGGAUAGCCGCCCGAAAGGACGGGUAAUAUAGGAUACCACGGGGUGCCGCAUGGCACCCCGGCUAAAGGGCCGACGGGGGGGGAUGGCUGGGCUGCCCACCAGGUAGACGGCGAGGUGACGGCGCACCGUGCCGACAACGGGUAGCCGGGGAGAGAGACCGGCCGGCCAGGGUGGGACUGAGGCACGACCCAGACUCCUACGGCAGGCGGCAGUAGGGUAGCUUGAGCAAUGGGGGGAAGCCUGACGCAGCGACGCCGCGUGAGGGACGGAGGCCGUCGGGUCGUAGACCGCGUUCAGCAGUGAGGAGUCAUGACGGUACCUGCAGAAGAAGCACCGGCUAACUACGUG
This 459-nucleotide ribosomal RNA is filed under the name uncultured bacterium. Its description in RNAcentral is "partial 16S ribosomal RNA". It matches the Rfam family "Bacterial small subunit ribosomal RNA", at positions 28 to 507 of the family's 1533-position model. The record is from RNAcentral.